ACGGGCAUGGUGCAACGGCUAGCAUACGGGUCUCCAACACCCUUGAUCUGGGUUCGAAUCCUAGUGCCCGUG
Molecule: transfer RNA, 72 nt
Filed under: Ferruginibacter paludis
Lineage: Bacteria; Pseudomonadati; Bacteroidota; Chitinophagia; Chitinophagales; Chitinophagaceae
Also listed under: 4 other names
Description: tRNA-Trp
Rfam family: tRNA
About the family: Transfer RNA (tRNA) molecules are approximately 80 nucleotides in length. Their secondary structure includes four short double-helical elements and three loops (D, anti-codon, and T loops). Further hydrogen bonds mediate the characteristic L-shaped molecular structure. tRNAs have two regions of fundamental functional importance: the anti-codon, which is responsible for specific mRNA codon recognition, and the 3' end, to which the tRNAs corresponding amino acid is attached (by aminoacyl-tRNA synthetases). tRNAs cope with the degeneracy of the genetic code in two manners: having more than one tRNA (with a specific anti-codon) for a particular amino acid; and 'wobble' base-pairing, i.e. permitting non-standard base-pairing at the 3rd anti-codon position.
Source: RNAcentral